This 417-nucleotide ribosomal RNA is filed under the name uncultured bacterium. RNAcentral describes it as "bacterial SSU rRNA". It matches the Rfam family "Bacterial small subunit ribosomal RNA", at positions 355 to 786 of the family's 1533-position model. The record is from RNAcentral.
UGGGGAAUAUUGGGCAAUGGGCGCAAGCCUGACCCAGCAACGCCGCGUGAAGGAAGAAGGCUUUCGGGUUGUAAACUUCUUUUGUCGGGGACGAAACAAAUGACGGUACCCGACGAAUAAGCCACGGCUAAUUCCGUGCCAGCAGCCGCGGUAAUACGGAAGGUCCUGGCGUUAUCCGGAUUUAUUGGGUUUAAAGGGAGCGUAGGCCGGAGAUUAAGCGUGUUGUGAAAUGUAGGAGCUCAACUUCUGCACUGCAGCGCGAACUGGUUUCCUUGAGUACGUAGGAAGUUGGCGGAAUUCGUGGUGUAGCGGUGAAAUGCUUAGAUAUCACGAAGAACUCCGAUUGCGAAGGCAGCUGACUGUAUCGUAACUGACGCUGAAGCUCGAAAGUGUGGGUAUCGAACAGGAUUAGAUACC